Molecule: small RNA, 742 nt
Filed under: Rattus norvegicus (Norway rat)
Lineage: Eukaryota; Metazoa; Chordata; Mammalia; Rodentia; Muridae
Description: uncharacterized LOC102553200
Source: RNAcentral
CGGCAAACAGAAUUAGCAAUACUUUUACUUAAAAUGAAAUAACUUCAACACCUCAAACACAAAGUUUUGUUUGGCAUUAUUUGGACUAAAUAUGAUACCAUUUAAGAAACAUUCAUUGAUUUUUACUAUUUUCCAUUGAAAAGCAUAAAAUAUUACCGGCACCACAAAUAUAAUAGUAUUAUCAUUCCACUAUAACCUUCAAGGAAUAUUUACACCACUGUCAUCAUUGUGAAUAAUGUCUCCUGUUGGUCUUAGGGGAUGGCAAAGGAUUUAAGGGAAAUAGAGGAUUUAAUGACUUCAUGAUGGUUUUGGCACAGGAUGUAGACACAUUCAACCUUAACAGUGCAGAAGCUAAAAUACAAAAGAUGAAAACCUCGGAGUCAGUGAUGGGAGCAACUAAGUUGGGAUAUUCUGACUGGAAAAUUGUCCUAUUUGACAACAAUUAAAAACAUCAGUGACUAUGCCAGAAUAACUAGAGCUGAAUUAUGUCAGAGCUGAGAUCUAAACUCCAUUCCACUGCAGAGAUGGUCUCGUUUGUACAAAGCGACUAUAAGGCACACCUUGAGAAGCAAGGAAGAAGGAUAACAGAUUAGUGACCUCCUGGACUAUGAAAUCACUUUAUACUAUUCUCAAGAGUUUAUCAAUGCAAUAAAAGAAGUAGUAGAAAGAAGAGGAGAUGAUGACAACAACGAAGUCGACAACUAUGACGAGAACAAUGAAGGGAAGAGAAGGGAAAGGAAAG